This is a non-coding RNA of Gossypium raimondii (Peruvian cotton), 145 nucleotides long. NCBI's taxonomy places the organism in Eukaryota, Viridiplantae, Streptophyta, Magnoliopsida, Malvales, Malvaceae. The record is from Rfam.
GGUUAUAAAGUUCAGUCUUUUGUACUGUUAAAAACUGAGGAUGUUGACUGAAUAACUAGAAAAUGACACUUGGUGUGCCACAUUUACCUCCUGCUGAUGUAGAAGGACCAGUUUUUAAUAGUAGAACUCGAUGAAAUUUUUCACA